AGUGAUUUAGCUGUUGAAGCAAUUAACAUGAAAAAGGAUAAAGUAACUUGAUCAAUGACACGAAAUAUACAUUCGACUUUCAAGAAUUUCACUGGAUACAAUUACAAAGCUUGGUCACAUCUCAUACAUUAUGAAAUUCUCGUUUGCGACUAAAGGCAUCGAAAUCACAAUAACUCCAGUAGGCACAUACUUAAGCUGCAUCAUUCAAGAACAGCGAUGUCACAACUUGAGAUUAAUACCCUCCUCAAUCAUCCUCAACUUCAAAAUAAAUAAUAUUUCCUUGAGAAUUCCAGAAUAUUUCUCCCUCUCUUCCGUCUUAAAGUUGCACUGUGCAAGCAUCGACACGAGCUCUCUUGAUUUGCAAGAGGAAUAAGCACCAAGAAACCAAUCACUGGUGCUUUAUUCACAAGUUAAGCUCUUGGGUAGCCAUCAAAACCCCACUACUGGCACCUCAGGAUGGCAGUCGUGGAGAACAAGACAAUUGACAAAAUGUAAGCAUGUUACAGAGUGACGGCUACAUCAGGGAUGAAAUAUGGACUACGGGCAACACCCACUGUCAUUUUGA
Long non-coding RNA from Neltuma alba, 565 nucleotides. RefSeq lists it as uncharacterized. The transcript has 2 exons. Lineage: Eukaryota; Viridiplantae; Streptophyta; Magnoliopsida; Fabales; Fabaceae. The record is from RefSeq and is a predicted model, not a curated record.